AAAUGGUGCAGGCUAAUACCCUGUAUGGAUGACGGGACCGGAAUAAGAAGCACCGGCUAACUACGUGCCAGCAGCCGCGGUAAUACGUAGGGUGCGAGCGUUUAUUCGAAUUACUGGGCGUAAAGCGUGCGCAGGCGGUUUUGUAAGACAGGCGUGAAAUCCCCGGGCUCAACCUGGGAACUGCGCUUGUGACUGCAAGACUAGAGUACGGCAGAGGGGGGUGGAAUUCCACGUGUAGCAGUGAAAUGCGUAAAGAUGUGGAGG
Molecule: ribosomal RNA, 264 nt
Filed under: uncultured bacterium
Lineage: Bacteria
Description: partial 16S ribosomal RNA
Rfam family: Bacterial small subunit ribosomal RNA
Source: RNAcentral